Molecule: long non-coding RNA, 1429 nt
Filed under: Phoenix dactylifera (date palm)
Lineage: Eukaryota; Viridiplantae; Streptophyta; Magnoliopsida; Arecales; Arecaceae
Description: long non-coding RNA (PDAC_LNC002407)
Source: RNAcentral
GUUCCUUAAUAAAAUUGAUGGAUGAAUGAAUCACUUAGUUAAUACUAGUUAAGUGCGUGUAGUGAAAAUAGAAAUACACACAAGACAAACACACAAGAAGUAUAGUGGUUCGGUGCUCUCCUAAGCACCUAUGUCCACUCUCCGAGCGUCCCCUUGGAAAUUCACUAUAAUCCCGCGGAUUACAGUUGGAUUGUUUUCCGGGAUCACAAUCCAAAAAUCUUUACACUUUGAUUUUCCGGAAUCACCAAAAACCUACGUUGGUUUUGCGGGCUCACCAACAACCUACGUUGGUUUUGCGGGCUCACCAACAACCUACACCGUUGGUUUUACAGGCUCACCAACCAACCUUACAAGAGGUUUGAAAAGAAAGAAAUUUAAAGCUUCUAAAUGAGCAAAUAUAACAAAUAUGAACUAAGAAAAGAGAUGAAUAGUUAUCGCUUUGAGGAUGCUCUUCUCUUCUUUGCUCAGGUUACUUCACUUUACAAUGAGUUGGUGGAGCUGUUGAAUGCACUUUCAAAUUUGCUCAACCACCUUCUUUUGAGAUUUGAAUGAAGCAACUUAAUGAAGAACGCUAGGGCUUGCUUUAAUCUUGAAUACUCUAUGAUUUCUUACAAAAGAAUAAUUCUACUGAUGAAUAGUAUCUCUUAAAUACUUCUCAACCUCUAUUGGUUACUUUCCAUUCGUUAGAUUUGAAAAACUAGCCGUUACUAUCCGUUGGGAGGUCAAAAAGUACUUUGACUCUUAAUCGUGAGAUCAGCAAAUACUAUGAGAGCACCUUUCUCUGAUACCACUUGUUGCCCGAAGUGACAAGCCAAGAGGGGGGCUGAAUUGAUUUUUCUAAAUUUUUAGUUCCUUAAUAAAAUUGAUGGAUGAAUGAAUCACUUAGUUAAUACUAGUUGAGUGCGUGUAGUGAAAAUAGAAAUACACACAAGGCAAACACACAAGAAGUAUAGUGGUUCGGUGCUCUCUUAAGCACCUAUGUCCACUCUCCGAGCGUCCCCUUGGGAAUUCACUAUAAUUCCGCGGAUUACAGUUGGAUUGUUUUUCGGACUCACAAUCCAAAAAUCUUUACACUUUGAUUUUCCGGAAUCACCAAAAACCUAUGUUGGUUUUGCGGGCUCACCAACAACCUACACCGUUGGUUUUACGGGCUCACCAACCAACCUUACAAGAGGUUUGAAAAGAAAGAAAUUUAAAGCUUCUAAAUAAGCAAAUAUAACAAAUAUGAACUAAGGAAAGAGAUAAGGAAUAGUUAUCGCUUUGAGGAUGCUCUUCUCUUCUUUGCUCAGGUUACUUCACUUUACAAUGAGUUGGUGGAGCUGUUGAAUGCACUUUCAGAUUUGCUCAACCACCACCUUUUGAGAUUUGAAUGAAGCAACUUAAUGAAGAAUGCUAGGGCUUGCUUUAAUCUUGAAUACUCUAUGAUUUC